Non-coding RNA from Pimephales promelas (fathead minnow), 1183 nucleotides. NCBI's taxonomy places the organism in Eukaryota, Metazoa, Chordata, Actinopteri, Cypriniformes, Leuciscidae. The record is from RefSeq and is a predicted model, not a curated record.
AAACUUGUUUUCCAUUGAUUGACAAAGUUAUGAAACAUUUGUACACACAUUUCAAUCAUAAUAAACAAACAAAUCUUGUCCGAAGAUGUUCAUUAUCUGAAAUAUCAUCUGGGGCGACCAUCAAGAAAAUACAAAUAAGGAACUUAUAUUCUGAUAAUCAUCUCAAAGAGGAUGCUGCAUCAGCCAGCCUCAUGGUGAGGGUCCCACAGAGACAACUAGCAGAUGGCCCCACUAACAAGCAAAGAAAAGACUGCUCGCUACAGGCAGCGGAAAAUGCUGUUCAAUGUGUCUGCAGAAUGCUGCUAUGUUCAACUGUUAAAUGAAAAUAGUAAUGAAAAUGCAAACAUUGUAUGUUUAAGUGAUUAAUGAAAUGAAAAUGAAAAAGGAAAAUGCUGUUCAAUGUUAUGUCCAAGCAUUUAAUGCAUUAGUAUUGAAGAUUUUAAUAUGAUGGUUUUGUGUCAAAUGAAAUAGUGAGGAUACUGUUAAUGUUAUGAAAUGUGUCAAAUGAAAUGGAUAUGCUGAUUCUUCAUAAAAUUUCAUUAAAUAUGCUGAUUAUUCAUAAAAUUCCAUUAAAUGUGUUUUAACUAUCAAAAUCAUUGAAUAGUCUUAAUUGCCUGCUGUUUUUCAUCAUGUGGGGCGACCAUUUGUCAUGUGGGGUAACCAACUAUAUUCAAUUCUGCAGUAAAUUCAAAAAAUAAUGUCUGUCCAUUUUGGUUGAAAUAUAAUUCAUUGGUAUAACAUCAAUAAGUGGAUACUAUAUCUACACAUAUUAAAUCAGUUUUAUGGAUUAUAUGAGUAAAAUAAAUAUGUAAUUGCUUUAUGAGGGUGACACUGCCAUUAUAGAUAAAAAUGUAUUUAACAUCAUUUGCAAUAAAUGAAAGGACACAUGAGUAUAUCUUUCUUAAACAGUUCAAUUAAUUACUGAUACUUCUUAAAAUAUAACUUAUGCAAAGAAAAUCUAUUAAUUAUAAGAUAAAUUACGGUCGCCCCAAAUGACUUUUUUAAGGUCAUUGCCCUAUUCAUUUGAGUUUAAAAGCACUAAAAUAUCUUUGUUUGAAGUUUUCACACACAUGCAUGUGUAGACUACACUCCACAUGUUUAGAAAAUAGCCAAAUAUAUUAUUAUUUCAAGUAUUUUAAAAAUGGGCCUCUCAAAGGCCUUAUACGUCAUUGACCCAUAUAUA